UACAGAGGUCCCAAGCGUUGUUCGGAUUCACUGGGCGUAAAGGGUGCGUAGGUGGCUGGGUAAGUUCGAUGUGAAAUCUCCGGGCUCAACCCGGAAACGGCAUUGAAUACUAUCCAGCUAGAGGGUUGGAGGGGGGACUGGAAUUCUCGGUGUAGCAGUGAAAUGCGUAGAUAUCGAGAGGAACACCGGUGGCGAAGGCGAGUCCCUGGACAACCCCUGACGCUGAGGCACGAAAGCUAGGGGAGCAAACAGG
RNAcentral lists this ribosomal RNA (253 nucleotides) under uncultured bacterium. RNAcentral describes it as "partial 16S ribosomal RNA". It matches the Rfam family "Bacterial small subunit ribosomal RNA", at positions 524 to 776 of the family's 1533-position model. The record is from RNAcentral.